This 290-nucleotide ribosomal RNA is filed under the name uncultured Desulfobulbus sp. RNAcentral describes it as "partial 16S ribosomal RNA". It matches the Rfam family "Bacterial small subunit ribosomal RNA", at positions 1093 to 1382 of the family's 1533-position model. The record is from RNAcentral. Lineage: Bacteria; Pseudomonadati; Thermodesulfobacteriota; Desulfobulbia; Desulfobulbales; Desulfobulbaceae.
CGAGCGCAACCCUUGCCUUUAGUUGCCAGCAGUUCGGCUGGGCACUCUAAAGGGACUGCCGGUGUUAAACCGGAGGAAGGUGGGGAGUGACGUCAAGUCCUCAUGGCCUUUAUGACCAGGGCUACACACGUACUACAAUGGCCGAUACAAAGGGCAGCGACACUGCGAGGUGAAGCCAAUCCCGUAAAAUCGGUCUCAGUCCGGAUUGGAGUCUGCAACUCGACUCCAUGAAGUUGGAAUCGCUAGUAAUCGUGGAUCAGCAUGCCACGGUGAAUACGUUCCCGGGCCUU